Lepidothrix coronata (blue-crowned manakin) is the source of this 536-nucleotide long non-coding RNA. RefSeq lists it as uncharacterized. The record is from RefSeq and is a predicted model, not a curated record. NCBI's taxonomy places the organism in Eukaryota, Metazoa, Chordata, Aves, Passeriformes, Pipridae. The transcript is spliced from 3 exons.
UCGGCGGGUGGGUUGGAGCCGCGCGGCCAAGGGAGCGCCCCGUGCUCGGAGUUCGGUCUGACCCGCUGGUGGGACGCGGGGCUCGCUCCCGGGCUCGGCGUUUUGGUGCCGCCGGUGACACGGAGAAAACAGCGGUUCAAAGAGGUUUUGAGAUGCCGUUCCCUGCUAGAACUGGAGUUGUAGAGCCUUGUACUUGCACGGUUAAUCGGUCCCUUUCAGGGAAUCUACGUAGUGGUGAAGCUAUUUUGAUGUCAGAAGUGUCUGGACUCCCCAGCUUAGACUGUGUGAGCUAAGCAGGUAUUAAGGGACAAGCCCUGCCUAUGGAGCUUGAAUGGACAGGAGAAAAGAUGGAAGAAAGGAGAGCUCGUGAUAAUGUAAUUCCAGAAAGAAGACGAACAAGCUCCACAGAGUAAUUAACGCAAUCCACAGUCCACUUGAAGGUACAGGAGCUAAUUCUUUAUGUGCUUUGGUGUUUGGUGUUCCCUGAAUACAAUAGCUAAGAUGCAUCAUGGACUAAAGCUGGAAGUUAUUGAUGA